GCAAGUCGAGCGAACGGAUAAGGAGCUUGCUCCUUUGAAGUUAGCGGCGGACGGGUGAGUAACACGUGGGUAACCUACCUAUAAGACUGGAAUAACUUCGGGAAACCGGAGCUAAUGCCGGAUAACAUUUGGAACCGCAUGGUUCUAAAGUAAAAGAUGGUUUUGCUAUCACUUAUAGAUGGACCCGCGCCGUAUUAGCUAGUUGGUAAGGUAACGGCUUACCAAGGCAACGAUACGUAGCCGACCUGAGAGGGUGAUCGGCCACACUGGAACUGAGACACGGUCCAGACUCCUACGGGAGGCAGCAGUAGGGAAUCUUCCGCAAUGGACGAAAGUCUGACGGAGCAACGCCGCGUGAGUGAUGAAGGUUUUCGGAUCGUAAAACUCUGUUAUUAGGGAAGAACAAAUGUGUAAGUAACUGUGCACAUCUUGACGGUACCUAAUCAGAAAGCCACGGCUAACUACGUGCCAGCAGCCGCGGUAAUACGUAGGUGGCAAGCGUUAUCCGGAAUUAUUGGGCGUAAAGCGCGCGUAGGCGGUUUCUUAAGUCUGAUGUGAAAGCCCACGGCUCAACCGUGGAGGGUCAUUGGAAACUGGGAAACUUGAGUACAGAAGAGGAAAGUGGAAUUCCAUGUGUAGCGGUGAAAUGCGCAGAGAUAUGGAGGAACACCAGUGGCGAAGGCGACUUUCUGGUCUGUAACUGACGCUGAUGUGCGAAAGCGUGGGGAUCAAACAGGAUUAGAUACCCUGGUAGUCCACGCCGUAAACGAUGAGUGCUAAGUGUUAGGGGGUUUCCGCCCCUUAGUGCUGCAGCUAACGCAUUAAGCACUCCGCCUGGGGAGUACGACCGCAAGGUUGAAACUCAAAGGAAUUGACGGGGACCCGCACAAGCGGU
This 895-nucleotide ribosomal RNA is filed under the name Staphylococcus equorum. RNAcentral describes it as "bacterial SSU rRNA". It matches the Rfam family "Bacterial small subunit ribosomal RNA", at positions 57 to 933 of the family's 1533-position model. Lineage: Bacteria; Bacillati; Bacillota; Bacilli; Caryophanales; Staphylococcaceae. The record is from RNAcentral.